UUUGCAUAUUUGGCUGAUUAAUUUAGUUGGCCAUUUCCACCAUUUUUUAUCUGCUCUUCAAUCACAAGAAGAAGAAGACGAAGAAGCAAUUCACCAAAUGUUAGGCACUGCGAAUCUAGUUAUGGGCUCUUCUUCAGCCGCCAUGCUUACUUCAACGCAGUGUACUGCUAUGAAGUCUCUUGCGAGUUUCAGAAUUGGUCACCAUAGCCACUGCCGAGCACUUUCACUGCCUUCGGGAUUACCGUCUGCUUCUGGUUUUAGCUCCUGCUUCUUCGCUUCAAGAGGUUCUUCGCCCGCCGCCGUUAACGAUCAACUAGUGUCCUCUUAUUCGGCAGGCGAGCAAGAAUCGAACAAGUACCAUUUUGUAGUUGCAAAUGCGAAGUUCAUGCUCGAUGAGGAGGAGCAUUUCAGGGAGCUUCUCUUCGAGCGGCUUCGCUACUAUGCCGCGCGUAACAAGGAGCAGGACUUUUGGUUGGUGAUCGAGCCUAAAUUCUUGGAAAGGUUUCCUAAUAUCACCAAGAGAUUGCAGAGACCUGCCGUUGCUCUUGUUUCAACCAAUAGUACCUGGAUCACGUUCAUGAAGCUGAGACUGGACCGAGUUUUAGCCGAAAGCUACGAAGCCGAUAGCUUAAACAAGCAUUGGCUUCUAACCCGACCAACAUCGGAGUUUGAGAAGCCUGAAAAAUGGGCGGCUCCCUACCCCAAGUAUGAAUAUGGAUGGUGGGAGAUUUCCUUGCCGCCAGUGACAAAAACAGAAGCAGAAGCAAAAGUGUAAGCUGUGUGAUUUUCUUUAACAUCUUUAAUCAAUUAGCAUUUGGAUGGUGCGAGGAUUUGAUAAACCAUUUGUAGUUGGAAUGCAGCUUUUGAUUAUUCUAAUAUGGUAAAUGAAUAUGAUCAAUUAAAGUGAGUAUAGUCGAUCGAGAAUUGACAUGUACCUCGAUUAUGAUUUGAAUCCUGUAAGUAUAGUACAUAAUUUAAUUAGUUAGUUCA
Molecule: RNA transcript, 990 nt
Organism: Cucurbita maxima (winter squash)
Lineage: Eukaryota; Viridiplantae; Streptophyta; Magnoliopsida; Cucurbitales; Cucurbitaceae
Exons: 5
Source: RefSeq, a predicted model, not a curated record